UACGUAGGGGGCGAGCGUUAUCCGGAUUUACUGGGCGUAAAGCGCGUUAAGGCGGCCCGUUAAGUUAAUGGUGAAAUUUCAGGGCUCAACCCUGAAACUGCCGUUAAUACUGGCAGGCUUGAGUGUGAGAGAGGAAGAUGGAAUUCCCGGUGUAGUAGUGAAAUGCGUAGAUAUCGGGAGGAACACCAGUGGCGAAGGCGGUCUUCUGGCUCACAACUGACGCUGUAGCGCGAAAGCGUGGGGAGCGAACGGG
RNAcentral lists this ribosomal RNA (253 nucleotides) under uncultured bacterium. Its description in RNAcentral is "partial 16S ribosomal RNA". It matches the Rfam family "Bacterial small subunit ribosomal RNA", at positions 524 to 776 of the family's 1533-position model. The record is from RNAcentral.